GAUUAAUCGACAAGCAGUAAUCAAAACACUCGGCCAGUGAAGGUCCGGCGCAGAAGUGUUUCAGAAUACUGCGUCAUUGUCUCGAGUUAUCCCAGCCUGUCCUCCAUGUGCGGCGCAUAUCACGUCUGGCAGCGAGGGAGCGAGAGAGGGGGAGAGAGGUCCGGGUGUGUUUUAGUGUGUGAGAGGUCCCUGAGGGACGCCGAAGGAGAAAAGGGGAUCCUCGCGGCGCCAUCACUUGCCUGUUGGUCUGAUGAGAAGUCGAUAUUUGUACGGACGGUGCGGUGGUGCGCGGACUGAAGGGGCCUGAAGUUAUUGGCCACAGGAGCGUUUCUUCGGAAGUGUGAUGCCCCUUGCUUGAGUCUGCGUAAGCUGCGCAUCUGUGGAGAGCAAACGUGUCAUGCAAGUUGUGGGACUGUGACGGUACUGCCUGGUUCAUCCGCACGACUACGAGUGACGCAAAUCAUUUAAAGAGAGAGAGAGAGAGAUAGAGAGGGAGGAGUGAGAGGGACAAGUGGGGCUCACUUCGGCAGGAAAGGCGUAGUUGGCAAUGGUAUGUUCCGAGCCCUGCAGGUCCCGCUCGCCGAAGUGAAGACGCAGGUGGCUGACGGAGUAGGUGUAGGAGAGAGGUCCUCCUGACAGGUUGACCCGCGGCCCGGAUGACGGUUUGACUCUCCAUUCCAGACUGUGGCCUGUGUUGACGAGGCUGCCCUGGACCUGCCGGGCACGCAGAGGAAGCGGCGGAGCGAGAGACAGGCCGGCGUGAGGCAGCGAGAACCGGGCCUUCACAUCACGCCGAGCCCACGCCCUUACAGAUGGCGAGUAGCUCAGAGGAAAAAGACCAACUCUGCCAUGUCUUGCCACGCUGAUGACGCUCCUCCUCCAUUGGGCAAAGCAGCACCUGUUACAGGCUUCGUGAUCCCAAGCCUGUGUGUCACGUCGGCCUGCCGCAGAGUGGGACGUACUGGACGGCAGGUUGGAAAACUUAUUCGUGACGUGACUUGAUGAGACGAUAACGUGAUGCAAAGUGUGAAUGCAUGACAUGUUGACGGGACGGUGACGUGACGGUGUGAUGUGAAUCAGCACUUAAACGUUUCCACGUCUUAUCUCAACUACUUUAAACAGGCUGUGGAGGAAGUUGUCUUGAUUUUUAAGGAUGUUUUAAUGAUGUUAAUGAUGAUUCAACGAUAAUUUUGUGUCACCAAUGUGAGAGAGAGAGAGAGAGAGAGAGAGAGAGAGAGAGAGAGAGAGAGAGAAAAGCGCCCAUGAUAACACGAUUAAUUAUCUACUUAUGCGGCCUUUAAAGGGAGCUUUGAUGAGGGGACAGUGUGAUUGAGUAUAUAUGUGGUUAUGAAAUGUGAGUGAUGGUGUUGGCUGGUGGUUUAAGAUGCCGUAUAAUUGCUCCUACUCCGGGUACAUGGCACGAAGAUAUGGAGUUGGGAGAAAGGAAGCACGACAAAAGGGCAUUCAGACAGGUGAGAUAAGAUAUCUGAGAAAUGAAUAGGAUACCGGCAGAUUGGAUAGGACGUGCGCGUGCGUGCGUGCGUGUGUGUGUGUGUGUGUGUGUGUGUGUGUGUGUGUGUGUGUGUGUGUGUGUGUGUGUGUGUCAAGAAAGGUGAGGCAGAAAUGAGAGGAUUGCCUGACUGAGAGACCUGGUGAAGGAAGAGAAUAUGCAGAUUUUGUUUUAUUGUUGGCAGUUCUCGGAGAGACUAAGGUGUCAUAUCCCGAGAAAUGGAAAGGAAGAAGCGAAGGAAGGAAGGAAAUAAGUGGGAAUGGAACCGAAUAAGAAGGAAGAGUGAAAGUCAAGAAAAAAAAUGAAGAUAUGAAUAUGUGGUCCCGAGGUGUAGCGGCGCGUCCCUGCUACAUCGGGAGGAGAGGGGCUGUGUGGUCAGGAUUCAUGCCACUUGAGGGACCGGCUACUUUCCUGUCAAUACUGGGGCUGUGACGAAGGCUGUCCAAUGGAGAACAUGUAGAGAAGGCAGGACUUGGAAUCUUCUUACAGUUCGUGUAGCAUUGGCGCCUUCACCGUGAGAAAGUAUGGUGUGGAUUGCGUUGUGUAAGUCAUUAACAUGGGUUAAGUUCCGGGGGCGGAGAGACAGAUGGAGAAGCUUUUGCGUGCAGGUAUUGUUCAUCUAGAAAAUAUAAAAUAUUUUUCUGGAGUAUCGUUUUCAGCCGGGGUUGGUGGCGCAACCCUGUAAUCCGGCGACUCGGAGGCGUGGGCCAGCGGACGGCUUGAGGCGAGGGUGACUGCUGCGGGACUCCCCAUGUUGAGUGGGCGUCCGCACCAAGCUCAGCAUCAAUAUGGCCGCUCCUGGAGAGCCUAGGGCGUCCAGGUUGCCUAAGGAGGUGUGAACCAGGUCAGGGGGGAAACCCAGCAGCCGAAUGCACCCGUGUGGAGCAGCAGUGGGAUCACGCCCGUGAGUGGGCGGCCCGCGGCAGCCUUGCCGACACAGACGAACCUGGUUCUAUUUUUGUCAAGUUGCAUGGUCAUAAUUCAUUAUAUUCUACUUAUCAAUUUUCAUAGGCAAUCUGUGUGGACACACUUCAUUAGAAAAUACAACCAUGCUGAAGAUAUUCAUUAACAAAAAUUAAAAACAAGAAUUAAAGAUAUAGAUUUCUUAAUUGCAUCCCCAAACUAUAUGUUCAUACAUGAAACAUAUACGCAUUAAGUUAGGACACGUAAGGCCAAGGCUCGGUAAAAAUUCUGUAAACCACGAAACAUCACACAGAACGCUUGCUGAGGCGACAGUUUGAUCUUUUGCUGUCGAUAAUACUUUCAUGCCGUAAUUAUUGUUAACAUAAGCAUCCAUUAUAAGUGCACUGCCCAAGAUUUCUGUUGCACUCCUAUGAAAAAAAAAAAAAAAUCUUUAUAAAUAUCACCCGGCAGAAAAGCAAAAAGAACCAGGUUCGUCUGUGUCGGCAAGGCUGCCGCGGGCCGCCCACUCACGGGCGUGAUCCCACUGCUGCCCCACACGGGUGCUUUCGGCUGCUGGAUUUCCCCUGGCCUGGUUCACAUCUCCUUAGGCAACCUGGGCACCCUAGGCUCCCCAGGAGCGGCCAUAUUGAUGCUGAGCUUGGUGCGGACGCCCACUCAACAUGGGGAGUCCCGCAGCAGUCACCCUCGCCUCAAGCCGUCCGCUGGCCCACGCCUCCGAGUCGCCGGAUUACAGGGUUGCGCCACCAACCCCGGCUGGAAACUCUUGGCGCGGAGAUGAAUCCUAAGCUUCGGGCCAUUUUAGGAAUUUUGAUAGCUGCCUUUUAUUCCUUCUUCCACCAACUCUUUCCUUUCCUUACAUAAUCAUAGCAAUGCCCUUCACAUGUGUGCUUGUCCACACCACGUGAUGUUUCUUUAUUUAUAUUGUUUCUUAGUUGGGUUCCCUUAAUCUACCACGGCUAGGACGUCGGCUUUUAACGCAGGACAUUGGUUUUGACAUUAGAGAACUGUUACCGAAGUGGAUGAUCCUCUUAAUCUCGUACCGUGGUCAGGAAUCGAGUCCCCUAAGCCUGGUGUACAAAAAUAACUGCGAGAUCAUGAUUAUAUUAUUUACGAUCUAAGUGAUGAAAAGAAUGGAUUGGUUAAGAAAGUGACACAAUAUUCUUCCAUCAUUUACGAGUCUUUGUCAUACCAAGCCAUCUUCCUGUGUUCAUCAGUAAGCAAACGCAAGAAUA
Portunus trituberculatus (swimming crab) is the source of this 3666-nucleotide long non-coding RNA. RefSeq lists it as uncharacterized. The transcript is spliced from 8 exons. NCBI's taxonomy places the organism in Eukaryota, Metazoa, Arthropoda, Malacostraca, Decapoda, Portunidae. The record is from RefSeq and is a predicted model, not a curated record.